CGUACCUGCUGCGCGCCGGGGCGCCUGCUGCUUCCUCCUCGGCAUCGCGGGGCUCCGGCGGCCGCCGGCGGGGGGGGGGGCUGCCUCGGCGCGGGGGUGGGAAGUGUUGCCUCAGCCCCGGAGAUCCGCUGAGCUGCUCCAGUGUCGGCUCGAGGGCUGGGUUGGGGAUAUAUUUUUUGUUGCCGUGCAUGCACGAUGCCGAGGAGGAGGAGGAGGUGGAGGAGGAGGCGGCGGCGGAGGAGGAGGCGGCACAGAGGAGAGGACAGCCCUGCUGCUGCUGCUGCUGCUGGCAGAAGAGGGGGAAGUUUGACAAAUCGCCCCGGAGGAAGGAGGAGGGAAAGCCCCCCGAAGAGAUCACAAAAAACUCGGCUGGCCCCGCUCCUCGAGCUUUGGGAUGCGUCCAGUACCUGACUAAGUGCAGAUGUUGUUGCGUCCUCGCAUCGCAGAGCCGCCGCUCCCGCCUUUCCUUUUCAAGUUGCAGGAAAUUCAAACACUUUGCGUCAAGGGUGGAGAAGGAAGAAAAAUCUAUUGAAUUUUCUAUCAGACGGAUUACAGCAGGAAAUGCAGACCGCUUCACGUGCAUCACCUUCUUUGGGGGCUCGCGGUCUGUUUCGGAGAGCCAGAACACUACUAAGUGUAACAUUCACAAACAACGCAUAAAUCGGUGGCUGCCCAGACUCCAUCCGCACAGACUAAGCACACGAGGCUCAGCUCUAAGCUCUCCCUGUCCGGCACUUUUAACCCAAGGUACCCGCUAUUGACUAGCCCCACACUCUGAUCACCACACCGAUGACCGUCCCACCGGCUCGGAGAGUGCCGCGUCGCUGCUCGCCUCCACCGCCCGCUUCCUGCCCGCACGGGAGAAACCGCGGCGGGCCCGGGGCAACGAGCAGGCACGGCGGCGGCCCGCGGGGGUCAAGAAACGAACAGCGCCGUGCCGGCCGCCGCCACCGAGAGAGAGCGAAGCCGAGCUCCCGGCGCGCCUUCGAGGCGGGCGGGCGGCCCUGCGGCAGCUCCGGAGGCGCCCUUCGGAGCCCCCCGACGCCGAGAGAGCCUCAAAUCGGGGUCUUGGCACCAAGUUAGGCAGUCCUGCGGCUGCACCGAGCCGCCGGGGGGGCUCACCUGCCCGCCGCCUCCCACCGCACGCAGCGGCUGCGCCACUGAGGCGGCGCCUUAUGACCGCGGGCCUCAGACGGGAUCCCCCCCCAGCCCGUGUCGCCCCCCCGCCAUGUCGCCUCCCGUCCCGGGGAACGCUGUCCCCCGCAGCCCCCGCCGUCGGGGUGCGAGAAGGCGGCGGGGAGCGCUCCACUUUCUGCCGGCGAGGAACAAAGGAGCAGCGGCUUGCAUUAGCGCCGGGCGGGAGGGAUGCGCCUCUGACAAGUUUGUUUAAAAACACAACUGCCCGCGACGGAAAACGAUACUCCACUUUUGUGAAACACAAAGUAUUGUCAAUAACCAUUAUAACGACAAUAAUUAUCUGAGGGCAGAACAAAGGCAUUUUGUAAUAUCUACAUAACUUUAUUAGAGCAAAAUUAUUUUAAAAUGCCUCUGAAUUCCCAAGUCUCCUGAGUACAAAUGAAUAAAAGUUUUUUUCUCCGGGCUAAAAUCUUUGCUUGAAUGUAAAUUGUUUGGGUAAGUGAAUUUACACAGCAGCAAAGUUUGUUUGUCUUAGUCCAGUAGCUUUGCUUUAACGAACCAGAUGUUUUGUCUGUAAAUUGUCCAGAGGACUUUUACAGUUCUGACACAUAACGAGCCUCAGAAAAUCGCAACUGGGAUAGCGGGGUCCUUGCGACCAGGACCAGGCAUUUCGGAGGGGGCACGGGGGGGGGAAAUAAACCAGACCGGGCAGCGCAGGCACGUCCAGCGCCCCGCCGUGCAGAAGCGCCCCUGCUAAGCCGGAGGUAACCGUGGACGGGCCAAUCCUACUCCCCUGGGGGCUGCCGGUGCCCCCCGCACCCCUGGGGGUACCAAAACCUGCCGGUUCCAGACGCAC
Molecule: long non-coding RNA, 1993 nt
Filed under: Anas platyrhynchos (mallard)
Lineage: Eukaryota; Metazoa; Chordata; Aves; Anseriformes; Anatidae
Description: lncRNA (ENSAPLG00020014220.1)
Source: RNAcentral